UACACACCUGGGUCUUCCAGGUGCUUCCCAUCAGAGCAUCAGCAAGCAAUCUGUUUUACCCCUAUGGUAUCAGUCCCAGCUCCACAGAGCAAACCUAUUCUGAGGUCAAAACCAUCCCAUGGCAAAGGAACUCAACAAUGGACCACACAAAAUAAAAUAUACAUUUCUUUAUAAAUGAAAGCCCAGAAACAAACAGAACUAGGAGGAGGCUGAAAUUCAGGACCAAAUUCUGACCUUUCUGACAAUUAGUGUAAAAAGAAGUUGCAUGCUAUUUCUUCUGAAGGAUUUGAGAACAGCUCUUCUGGAAUUUUCCCACCAUAACAGUAAAAACCCAGGUCAUUCAGCUGACUGGGACAGUGAAAAGCUGCUAACAUUACCACUCUGUGUCAAUUGAAAAGGAGGAAGUGGCAUUCAGUUGGUGGGAAGCCCUGGAAGAGGAUGGGCUUGUCAAUGAAAUAUUUCUAUGAGCUUGGACUUCAAAUGGGUGUGGGAGGGGCCAAUGGACAUAUACAACUGGUAUGAAGGGCAAAGGGAAAUAUCAGACAAUACUUUAAAUAUAUAUGUUUAUAGGGGUGAGGUAUCAAACUAAGGUUUAGAGAUGGGAAUCUGCCACUGGGAAGCAGAGGUUUAAAAAUAUGGGAUAUGCAUUUAUUUAUUUUUAUUCUACAAUAUGGGCACAUAUUCUGCAAUCCUUACUUAUAGGCAAAUGCUGUCUUCUGAUAAUCUAUAUUAUGGUGACCAUACAUCCCGUUUUGGCUGGGACAGUCCCUUUCUUAAGUCCUGUCCCAACUUCUUUGGCAAAAGUGGGUUUGCUCUUACCAACUUGAUCAGCCAAAAAAGUGGCAUAUGAAAUACAGUUGGGUAGUUCUGAUACUGUCUAGUAGAGCACAGUAAUAAACAUGCUUUCUAUCUAGUUAAUUACAACAGUGGUUCAUUGGAGGUGACAUUUGGUAAAGCAUUUAUUUGCAGUAUAGUAUAUUUAUAGAUUCAAUCUGACAUUAUUCAAUAUGGUUUUCUCUUUUAGGAUUUUGUCUAUCUACAUUUUUAUUUCUUUGUUUAUUUUUGCAUUCUUACUAUUAUUUGACAAGCAGACACAAUUUAUAAAACAUAUUUUCCCUAGGUUUUCUACCUGAUUCAGGUAGAUGCACAUGACUCAUCUCAUUGAAGUCAAUGUAUCUUCCUGAACUGAGAGCUAAAUUGCAGAAGCCAACUAAUAUGUCUUGGUUAGAAGAGAAGUAUGUUGGUGCUAGAGCACUCAACAUUUUACAAUUUGAGGGGUAAAAUUAAAAAAUAAUGGUGAAAAAUCCUAAAAAAUUCAUGAAUCUACCACCUUCCCCCUUUCCCACCAGCUCCCAUUGCCACCAAAAUAUUUCUUUCAAGACAUCAGAUGAUGUUACUUUCCACACAACAUGUGAAAGUUCUACUAUCAUUAGACUAUUUUUAAAACUUUAUAAUAAUUCUCCUUAGUAUUUGCAAAUGAAAACUGACUUUACCAAUCUAGUCAAUUUU
Long non-coding RNA from Mauremys reevesii (Reeves's turtle), 1509 nucleotides. RefSeq lists it as uncharacterized. The transcript has 3 exons. The record is from RefSeq and is a predicted model, not a curated record. NCBI's taxonomy places the organism in Eukaryota, Metazoa, Chordata, Testudines, Geoemydidae.